This 71-nucleotide microRNA precursor is filed under the name Paramuricea clavata. Lineage: Eukaryota; Metazoa; Cnidaria; Anthozoa; Malacalcyonacea; Plexauridae. The record is from RNAcentral.
UAUAUUAUACGUGCGGAAAUUGUUACCAUUUUUGUGCCGAAAAUGGUAACAAUUUCCGCACGUAAUACAAA